Molecule: long non-coding RNA, 381 nt
Organism: Quercus lobata
Lineage: Eukaryota; Viridiplantae; Streptophyta; Magnoliopsida; Fagales; Fagaceae
Exons: 5
Source: RefSeq, a predicted model, not a curated record
CCCCAAAAAAAUAAAACCAAUAAGAAAAAUUUCGUACCAGGCAAACCGCAAUUUGCUGUCUCAAAUAACAGUGACCAAGAGCUCAAAAUGGUUCUCAUAGUUAGACAAGACUUAAAGAUGAAAUCAGGAAAGAUUGCAUCUCAAUGCGCUCAUGCUGCCACUGGAAUGUAUGUGGAAUUAAUGCAAAGGAAAACCAGAAGACGAAGCAUCCGCAAUUGCUUUAUGAGGCCAAGUUGAAUGGUGUUCUUCAAGGAGGAAAUGGUAUUGCGAAUAUGAAAUGGUGCGAAUAAAAUUCUUGUCCUUGACCUUCUUGGACCAAGUCUUGAAGAUCUCUGUCUACUGUGGGAGGAAGUUUUCCUUGAAAACAGUCUUAAUGUUGGC